CGGCAAGUCCUACACAACUAGCUCCUGUUGAAUCCUCCAGGGCGGGAACGCAGCAAAGGUAAAUGGUUGAGCGGUGUGAUGUAGGGAGCUUGCCAUUU
RNAcentral lists this signal recognition particle RNA (98 nucleotides) under Flavobacteriaceae bacterium. Its description in RNAcentral is "signal recognition particle sRNA small type". It matches the Rfam family "Bacteroidales small SRP", at positions 9 to 102 of the family's 107-position model. Rfam says of the family: The non-coding component of the signal recognition particle in Bacteroides RNAcentral also lists the same sequence under 1 other name. The record is from RNAcentral. Lineage: Bacteria; Pseudomonadati; Bacteroidota; Flavobacteriia; Flavobacteriales; Flavobacteriaceae.